RNAcentral lists this transfer RNA (67 nucleotides) under Marmota monax (woodchuck). It matches the Rfam family "tRNA". Rfam says of the family: Transfer RNA (tRNA) molecules are approximately 80 nucleotides in length. Their secondary structure includes four short double-helical elements and three loops (D, anti-codon, and T loops). Lineage: Eukaryota; Metazoa; Chordata; Mammalia; Rodentia; Sciuridae. The record is from Rfam by way of RNAcentral.
GGUUAUAGCUCAGUGGUAGAGUGCAUGCCUAGCAUGUGUGAGGCCCUGAGUUCACUUCUCAGCACCA